UACGAAGGGGGCUAGCGUUGUUCGGAAUCACUGGGCGUAAAGGGCGCGUAGGCGGCUUUGUAAGUCGGGGGUGAAAGCCUGUGGCUCAACCACAGAAUUGCCUUCGAUACUGCAUGGCUUGAGACCGGAAGAGGUUAGUGGAACUGCGAGUGUAGAGGUGAAAAUUCGUAGAUAUUCGCAAGAACACCAGUGGCGAAGGCGGCUGACUGGUCCGGUUCUGACGCUGAGGCGCGAAAGCGUGGGGGAGCAAACAGG
RNAcentral lists this ribosomal RNA (255 nucleotides) under uncultured bacterium. RNAcentral describes it as "partial 16S ribosomal RNA". It matches the Rfam family "Bacterial small subunit ribosomal RNA", at positions 524 to 776 of the family's 1533-position model. The record is from RNAcentral.